AUUAUUGUACACAAGAUAGAAGUUAUUUUUUGUACAAUUCAAAAUAAGUUCUAUCUUAUGUACAAUAAUUAUAAAAGUUAAGUUGUAUACUGCGCUACACUAAUACAAGUUGAAUAACUAUUUUUACUUUUGGAUCCGGUUUCCAUGAGUCAAAAUAUAUAUGAUACGUGUGAUAAGAAAGUCGCAUAUAACUGCAACAGAUGAACAAAUUUCUGCUCCCAUCAAGAUCUGGCUGGCUCAUGCAAAGGAACGUGCAAAAAAACAAAAAAUAAUUGAGUUAUUUUAGAUUUUACAUAU
Long non-coding RNA from Harpegnathos saltator (Jerdon's jumping ant), 297 nucleotides. RefSeq lists it as uncharacterized. The transcript is spliced from 3 exons. NCBI's taxonomy places the organism in Eukaryota, Metazoa, Arthropoda, Insecta, Hymenoptera, Formicidae. The record is from RefSeq and is a predicted model, not a curated record.